RNAcentral lists this ribosomal RNA (253 nucleotides) under uncultured bacterium. RNAcentral's name for it is "partial 16S ribosomal RNA". It matches the Rfam family "Bacterial small subunit ribosomal RNA", at positions 524 to 776 of the family's 1533-position model. The record is from RNAcentral.
UACAGAGACUGCAAGCGUUAUUCGGAUUCACUGGGCGUAAAGGGUGCGCAGGCGGCCAAGUGUGUCAGGUGUGAAAUCCCGAGGCUUAACCUCGGAACUGCGCCUGAAACUACUUGGCUAGAGUACUGGAGAGGGUAACGGAAUUCCCGGUGUAGCAGUGAAAUGCGUAGAGAUCGGGAGGAACACCAGUGGCGAAGGCGGCUACCUGGACCAGCACUGACACUGAGGCACGAAAGCGUGGGGAGCAAACAGG